UAUUUUAAUAGCUUAAAUAGAGCAUGAUAUUGAAGAUAUUAAGGAGGUUUAUUACUUUAGAAUAU
This 65-nucleotide transfer RNA is filed under the name Dilophotes sp. Q LB-2014. RNAcentral's name for it is "tRNA-Phe". Lineage: Eukaryota; Metazoa; Arthropoda; Insecta; Coleoptera; Lycidae. The record is from RNAcentral.